GCAAGUCGAACGAGAACGCACCUUCGGGUGUUAUUAAAGUGGCGAACGGGUGAGUAACGCGUAGGUAAUCUGCCCUAUAGUCGGGGAUAAACACUGGAAACGGUGCCUAAUACCGGAUGUGAACCAGUACUGCAUAGUAUUGAGUUUAAAGUAUUUUUAUGCUAUAGGAUGAGCCUGCGUCGCAUUAGCUAGUUGGUAAGGUAAGGGCUUACCAAGGCAACGAUCCCUAGCUGGUCUGAGAGGAUGAUC
RNAcentral lists this ribosomal RNA (249 nucleotides) under uncultured bacterium. RNAcentral describes it as "partial 16S ribosomal RNA". It matches the Rfam family "Bacterial small subunit ribosomal RNA", at positions 57 to 305 of the family's 1533-position model. The record is from RNAcentral.